RNAcentral lists this unclassified non-coding RNA (204 nucleotides) under uncultured Ascomycota. RNAcentral describes it as "sequence contains ITS2". Lineage: Eukaryota; Fungi; Ascomycota. The record is from RNAcentral.
CAGACCACUCAAGCCCGGCUUGUCAGUUGGAUCGGCGUCCCGGCCCAUGGACGGAUCCGAAAUGCAGCGGCGGCGCCGACCCGGUGUUCCCGAGCGAAUGGUAGAAUCUCUCAUAACAGGGUUAACAGGGCUCGUGGAACCCGACCGGGCGUCGGCCUCUCGCGGCGGUCUCUCCCUCCGGGGAGCGGCCCCGCAUCUCGAUAC